CCUACGGGUGACAGCAGUGAGGAAUAUUGGUCAAUGGGCGGAAGCCUGAACCAGCCAAGUCGCGUGAGGGAAUACGGCCCUAUGGAUCGUAAACCUCUUUUGCCGGGGAGCAAGGCCCGGCACGUGUGCCGGCCCGGAGAGUACCCGGAGAAAAAGCCUCGGCUAACUCCGUGCCAGCAGCCGCGGUAAUACGGAGGAUGCGAGCGUUAUCCGGAUUUAUUGGGUUUAAAGGGUGCGUAGGCGGGCUGUUAAGUCAGCGGUAAAAAUUCGGGGCUCAACCCCGGCCGGCCGUUGAAACUGGGGGCCUUGAGUGGGCGAGAAGAAGGCGGAAUGCGUGGUGUAGCGGUGAAAUGCAUAGAUAUCACGCAGAACCCCGAUUGCGAAGGCAGCCUACCGGCGCCCAACUGACGCUGAGGCACGAAAGUGCGGGGAUCGAACAGGAUUAGAUACCCUUGUAGUC
Molecule: ribosomal RNA, 460 nt
Filed under: uncultured bacterium
Lineage: Bacteria
Description: partial 16S ribosomal RNA
Rfam family: Bacterial small subunit ribosomal RNA
Source: RNAcentral